RNAcentral lists this long non-coding RNA (1340 nucleotides) under Mytilus galloprovincialis (Mediterranean mussel). Lineage: Eukaryota; Metazoa; Mollusca; Bivalvia; Mytilida; Mytilidae. The record is from RNAcentral.
GUGCGGCCUCGAAUGUGUGUAAAUACAUGCAUUUUUGUAUUACAAUUAAAUCUGUGCGUUUGUACAAUUUAAGUAUAACGGAGGACAAUUCUGAAACUUAUACAUACAACAAACCUUCCUCUUGUUUUAACAACAUUUAAACAUCCUUAUACUGAAUGUAGUAAGGGAGCUACCAUUUGAUUUUUAUGGGGGGGCUAGGAUGAAAAAUUUUGUCCUGCAUUUUUUUUUAGUUGUAAUCUCUGUCCUGCCUUUUUAUUUUUCACUCUAUUGGGUCCUGCCUUUUUUUUUUAGUUUAUCCUGACUUUUUUUUACCUUAAUUGUCAUCCUGACUUUUUUUUUUUUGCAAGUGUCUCAUCCUGCCUUUUUUUUUACUCAAAAUUCCUGUCCUGCCUAUUUUUUUCAAAUUUCAUCCUAGCCCCCCAUAAAAAUCAAAUGGUAGCUCCCUAAGUCGAGUACACCCUAUUAAGCUAAACAUGUUUCAUAUAAGUUUUCAGGAUGUUAAUUUAUUGAAAUAUAUUUGUGUUAUUUCGAAAAAUGACACCUUCUAAAUGUAUCGUAAAUAACUUUGCAAUCACUACUAGAAUACAGUGAAAUAAAGAUUUUAACAACAUUUAACAUCCUUAUACUGAAUGUAGUAAGUCGAGUACACCCUAUUAAGCUAAACAUGUUUCAUAUAAGUUUUCAGGAUGUGAAUUUAUUGAAAUAUAUUUGUGUUAUUUAGAAAAAUGACACCUUCUAAAUGUAUCGUAAAUAACUUUGAAAUCACUACUAGAAUACAGUGAAAUAACGACUGAUCAUACAGUUUCAAAAUAUACAAGCGAGACUGAUCGUACAGUGAGAAAUUCAAACAAGUGUUAUUUUCUUAUUUCUGGCUUCAAAGAUCUGGUUGAAACUUUUACCACCACUUGAAAUAUAUUUCAUUUAGUUAAUUAAGUCUGGUAUUUACGUUAAUUUGUACACUAAGAGGGUAAAAAGAUUGUUUUUAGGUUCACAGACUGAUUGUCCUUAGUGAUGCACUUGAAAAUCUAUUGAUUAAGACAGAGAUACGAAUAAUGAAUGUGCUAAAUUUAAUUCUAAACCAUUUGAGAAUAUCGAUGUCAGCUGAAUUAAUCAUUCAGCAAUGUACAGAUGAUCCACUUACCGUUUAAUUCAGUAUAUCCAUCAAAUUUCACAUGCUAUCCAAAAAGUUCUCGCUUCGAAAAUCGCGACUUCCGGAUAGCGUACAGAAUAGUAUCUACACUGUGUAUAAAUGAACUGUACAUCACCUGUUGAUAAUAAUGAAAAAGAUAUUCUGUGUCAUUUGGGCAUUAAAAAGAGCUUAACUUGCAAAAAAACAACGC